AAAGGGAGACCUAAUUCAGGUAUAAGACGAAAAAAAAGUAGUCCCUACCAAGAAUCAAUCCCAAAAGGUCGGAACGAGGUAUGAGGCUUUCAAACUAGGUUCUGGGUUCAUAAAAGACCUGAAUCAGGAACAAGGGCUAUUAGCUCGGGUGGUUAGAGCGCACCCCUGAUAAGGGUGAGGUCCCUGGUUCGAGUCCAGGAUGGCCCACCUGCACAGGUGGCAAAAACAAGAGAAGCGAGGAAUCAGCACCUUAUCUUACUUAUAUAGUAAGAGAGAAUGCUGGCUCUGAGUAAAGAGUCCAGAGGAACCUUGAAAACUGCAUAGAGCUAGGUGAAAAAGCCAAAAAAGAAGACCGCAAG
RNAcentral lists this transfer RNA (359 nucleotides) under uncultured Microcystis sp. RNAcentral's name for it is "partial 16S-23S ribosomal RNA intergenic spacer". The stretch from base 134 to 207 matches the Rfam family "tRNA". The record is from RNAcentral. Lineage: Bacteria; Bacillati; Cyanobacteriota; Cyanophyceae; Chroococcales; Microcystaceae.